UCACCAGACUCCUACGGGAGGCAGCAGUGAGGAAUAUUGGUCAAUGGACGAGAGUCUGAACCAGCCAAGUAGCGUGAAGGAUGACUGCCCUAUGGGUUGUAAACUUCUUUUAUAUGGGAAUAAAACAGGGUAUGCAUACCCUCUUGUAUGUACCAUAUGAAUAAGGAUCGGCUAACUCCGUGCCAGCAGCCGCGGUAAUACGGAGGAUCCGAGCGUUAUCCGGAUUUAUUGGGUUUAAAGGGAGCGUAGGUGGAUUGUUAAGUCAGUUGUGAAAGUUUGCGGCUCAACCGUAAAAUUGCAAUUGAUACUGGCAGUCUUGAGUACAGUUGAGGUAAGCGGAAUUCGUGGUGUAGCGGUGAAAUGCUUAGAUAUCACGAAGAACCCCGAUUGCGAAGGCAGCUUACUAAACUGUGACUGACAUUGAUGCUCGAAAGUGUGGGUAUCAAACAGGAUUAGAUACCCGUGUAC
Molecule: ribosomal RNA, 468 nt
Filed under: uncultured bacterium
Lineage: Bacteria
Description: bacterial SSU rRNA
Rfam family: Bacterial small subunit ribosomal RNA
Source: RNAcentral